RNAcentral lists this ribosomal RNA (497 nucleotides) under uncultured bacterium. Its description in RNAcentral is "partial 16S ribosomal RNA". It matches the Rfam family "Bacterial small subunit ribosomal RNA", at positions 28 to 507 of the family's 1533-position model. The record is from RNAcentral.
GACGAACGCUGGCGGCGUGCCUAAUACAUGCAAGUAGAACGCUGAAGAGAGGAGCUUGCUCUUCUUGGAUGAGUUGCGAACGGGUGAGUAACGCGUAGGUAACCUGCCUUGUAGCGGGGGAUAACUAUUGGAAACGAUAGCUAAUACCGCAUAACAAUGGAUGACACAUGUCAUUUAUUUGAAAGGGGCAAUUGCUCCACUACAAGAUGGACCUGCGUUGUAUUAGCUAGUAGGUGAGGUAAUGGCUCACCUAGGCGACGAUACAUAGCCGACCUGAGAGGGUGAUCGGCCACACUGGGACUGAGACACGGCCCAGACUCCUACGGGAGGCAGCAGUAGGGAAUCUUCGGCAAUGGGGGCAACCCUGACCGAGCAACGCCGCGUGAGUGAAGAAGGUUUUCGGAUCGUAAAGCUCUGUUGUAAGUCAAGAACGGGUGUGAGAGUGGAAAGUUCACACUGUGUCGGUAGCUUACCAGAAAGGGACGGCUAACUACGUG